AGCCUACCUUGUCAAGCUAUUGAAAUAUGAAAAAUAUGUGUUACCAGUUUUCAACCGAAAUUCCUGAUUAUCCCAUGGCAUUUCUUUGAUGACAUGCAUGGCUUGAAAAAAACAUACUCAUGGGAAAUGUAAUACUAAGACACUAAGACACUAAUACUAAGACUGUGUCAGUAUGCUGUGCUUGAAAGUCAGCAUCACAUGAGAUCAUACAUGCUUCAUACGUGCAUAAGUCAGAAUAUGAUGUCAAUAUCACGGGUGCUAUAACCAAUUUAAACGAUUCCGUCCAGUGUUUCUACUCAUUCUGCUUCCAUGAUACUCAUAAAAAAUGUUUAUUCCGUCCAAUGUUGAUAUCAGCUUGCAGUGUGUGAGAAUUUGACAAGAUC
Long non-coding RNA from Lytechinus variegatus (green sea urchin), 383 nucleotides. RefSeq lists it as uncharacterized. Lineage: Eukaryota; Metazoa; Echinodermata; Echinoidea; Temnopleuroida; Toxopneustidae. The record is from RefSeq and is a predicted model, not a curated record. The transcript has 2 exons.